CCUCGGGUUGCCGCACCGCCGCCCAGGGUCAACGAGGCCGAGCUUGUGUGCCACCAUCAGGCCCAGGGUCGCGUGGGUGCCCGUCAUCGAUCCGCAGGUGGACCUGACCGCUGACAAGCUACGAGCUCAGCCACACCCGCUUGCCCCAUCCCGACGGUGACUUCAUGACCGCCCCAUCCAGCCACGCUGGGCAACACCCCCCAAAACUUGAUUCUCUUUGCUCCGCUUCCUGCCGUCCUUGCUUCCUUGACCUGACGUCCUCACCUCCGUGAUCUCUCGUCGCCAUGACCGAGUCCUGUGAAGGGAUGGCCCCCCGAGCUCUGUACCAGCAUGGCUCCGUUCCGUCGAGGCACACCAUGACCACGACAGUCUGCUUACCGUGGAGUACAUCACACUCCCAGAGGAGGUUUGUGCACUCCGCUGAUCUGAUUUUGGUUCUAAAAAAAUUUUGAUUCGUGAGUUGUAGAUCUCAUCGGCACUGUCGGAGUGUGGUUGUGGCCUUUGAGUGUGGUUGUCUAGGUAUGUAUAAAGUUCUGGAUUGUGUAGUGUAAUCAGCGAGAAAAUGUGUAUUGGCAUGUAUAAAGAAACAUAUGCGAAAUUCCGGAUCAUGUAGAUUAAUCAAUAAAAUUCUCAUCAGUUCUCUGGUAUUUGAAGGUA
Panicum virgatum (switchgrass) is the source of this 657-nucleotide long non-coding RNA. RefSeq lists it as uncharacterized. The record is from RefSeq and is a predicted model, not a curated record. The transcript has 2 exons. Lineage: Eukaryota; Viridiplantae; Streptophyta; Magnoliopsida; Poales; Poaceae.